RNAcentral lists this ribosomal RNA (395 nucleotides) under uncultured bacterium. RNAcentral describes it as "bacterial SSU rRNA". It matches the Rfam family "Bacterial small subunit ribosomal RNA", at positions 93 to 499 of the family's 1533-position model. The record is from RNAcentral.
CAGUAGCAAACGAGGUAGUAACACGUAGGAAUCUCCCCCGGAGUCAGGGAUAACGUAUGGAAACGUACGCUAAUACUUGAUGGUGUCGCAAGACUAAAGAUUUAUCGCUCCGGGAAGAGCCUGCGCAGUAUCAGCUAGUUGGUAGUGUAAUGGACUACCAAGGCUAUGACGCUUAGGGGAGGUGAGAGCCUGACCCCCACCGAUGGGACUGAGACACGGCCCAUACACCUACGGGUGGCAGCAGCCGAGAAUAUUCCGCAAUGGGCGAAAGCCUGACGGAGCGACGCCGCGUGAUCGAAGAAGCCUUUCGGGGUGUAAAGAUCUUUCGGUGGAGACAAAAAAGGCGGAGCUAACAUCUCCGUCCCUGAUGGUAUCCAAAGAAGAAGCACCGGCUA